ACCGUUCACCAUGGACAUGGAUGAGAUUGUGAGAGUUCAUUUUUUCCAACUUAACAAAGUCAGAAGUCAUUUCUUUCAAUGAAGGAGACAUAGAAAUCGAACCUAAAGAUUGUUAUAUAACUUGAUUUGGGAGACUGCUGCAAUAGCUUGACUGAGAAGAUGAUGAAGAUGAACAUAAUGAAGUGUAUAUAACUUGAUUGUUGGGAAGAUGCUGCUGCACUUGAAACCUGAAAAAUUUAAUGGUUAUGCAUGUAAAACUCAGAGCGCACGGGGUUGCCACACUAACCUUUAGGUUCGAUUCGCCCCCACCAAUAACUGUAUAUUUGAUGCAAAAUGAAUGACUAGCGAAUACCCUUCAAGAUACUAUGAGUUCCUUGAUGUGUAUUGCACAGCCACACCAAGCGUAUUUCCUAACAGUAUUUUACAGAUUUAUGGUUUCAGCAAUUCACUCAUGCAUUAGAGAAUUGAUGGAUGAUUUAAAGUAAGAAAAUGAGUAAGAAAAUGAGGGUUAAUGUAACAAAAUUCUUGUUCUUGUUGUGUCCAAAUUAAUGCCCAAAUGUCAAACAUUUAUAGUGCAUUAUAUGACCAUUCACAUGAGUGAAAACACCCUUUUGACUUGAAUCAAUGAUAUGGUUCAUUAAGCACUCAUUUGCCAAAUGUUAUGAUCAUAUACACUUGAAUCAAUGCUAUGGUUCAUUAAGUAUCCAUUUACCAAAUGUUAUAAUGUAUAUGAAUGAUUCCCAUAAAGAGUUAUAACUUUUGGUUCUAAAGUGAUUCCAUUAUUUUAGAAAUCACCAACAAAACAUUCAAGACACAUAAUCUAGAAAGAGAAAUCAACAACUCGAAGAAUAAUAUACUCCCUCCGUCCCAAAUUGUAAGACGUUUUGGACAUUUCACACAUAUAUUAAGAAAUGCAAUUAAUAUUGUGUGGAAAAGAGAUAUUAUGAGUUGUUUUACAAAAUUGUCCUUAAUAAAUAAUAUGGGAAAAAUAAAUGAAAGAAUUGAAAUAAGAGAGAGUAAUAAAUAGUUAAGGUUAUAAGAGGAAAAGUAACGUUAAAGUUGCAUUGGUAUUGUAAAGCGACAUACAAUUUGGGACAAAUUUUUUUCCCUAAAGCGACAUACAAUUUGGGACGGAGGGAGUAUUGUCUAGUAAAUGAAAUGCAUCAAUGCUAAUCAAUAUUGAUCCUAUACAUUCAUGACUAAUCAAUGCUAAUCAAUUUACACUUAAUUUACAAUAAUGAUAUUCUAAGACUUUUAUAUAUCCCAACGGGUAUAAUAUAUACCCCAAUGGGUAUAUAGACUAAGGCCCCGUUUGGAUUGGCUUAUUUUGAGUUUAUGUGGGCUUAUCUACUUCCAUAAGCUUUUUUAAAGGUGUUUGGGUAAAUAAAUAAAAAUAGCUUAUCAUAGUUUCAUAAGCUGCUUAUGCCAUAUUUUAAUAAGCCUGAAUUUUCAGCUUACCCUCCGGCUUAACAAGGAGCUUAUGAAUUUAUGUAACCUCCUUCGAUUCUCUCUUGAUCCACUUUUUCAAAACAUAUAUAUUUAUUUUAUUUUUUAGUUUUUUUUUAUAUUUUAAUUAUAAUGUUAGUUAUCUUUGGUUGUGCAUGAGUAACAAAAUUGCUAUAUACUUAUCUUACUAAAGUAACACACGUAACUAAGAUUUUUUUUUUUUAAGGAUGAUUUUUAUUAUUUUUUUGUUACGUAACAAAAUAAAACUGAAUAAAAAAAAUAAACUUAACUUGUCUUUUUUUGAUAACAAACUGUACAUUAAUAUCUAUAUAUGGUAAGUUUACAAUCAUAAUUUCUCAAGUUUAUAUUUAUAUUAUUAUACUUUUUUUUAAAAGAAAGUUUAUCAUAUAUUAUUAUACUUGUGUAUAAUGAUGUUUAGACUAUUUAUUUACACCUCGAAUGUUAAUUUUGUCUUAUAUGAAUAUUGAUAUUUUUUUAAGGACGAAUAUUGAUUAUACUAUAUAUAUAAUUAUAAUUAAUAUAUUAUAAUAUUAUUUUUUACAUCUUGAUUAAUUUUAUCAAAAAAAAUCUUGAUAAUUGUGGUUCGAUUCUUUGAUUUUUUUGUUAAAUUAAAAAUAUUUAAAAUUUUGAGAUAAUUGCUUAUGUAAUGUCACAUCCAAACACUUCAAUUUAUGUAAGUACUUUUUAGUGUACAUAUCCAAACAUAAAUAGCUUAUCAAGUAUAAGAGCUUAUGAUGUAAGCUAUAAUGUUAUAAGCAUCUAUAUAAGCUGUUUAUCCAAACGGGGUCUAAUAAGUAUCAAAGACUAUUAAAAAACCAUAUAGUCAACAAAUUUAUAUGAAAGCUUAUUCAUUCAGAAGAUGAGCUAUGUAUUGGAUCUUCUAGUCACAUUCUUUGUCAUAUGGUCAUCACUUAAUUUCAAAUCAUUUGAAAUAAGUUUACCAUUCGGUCGAAGAAAUGUCUCUGAACGAUUAAAGUUAUAUUCCAUCCAAAGCAUCAAUUUCAAAAGCUAGGAAGAUUUUGUAGAUAAUCACAUGACAGAGUUUUCAACAAAAGAGUUAGUUUUAUUUUAUGUAAAAGAUAAUGUUAGUGAGAUUCACGUUAUAGCUCUUCAAAAUUCACGUUGAAUAUACACUCGGUAGAUAUUCCCACAUAAAAUGGAUCCUAAAGAUAGUGUUAGUGAUAAUUGUUCAUAGGAACAUUAAAUAAAGUGGUUAUAAUAUUCAUAACUUUGAAGGUAAACAUGACUAUUUAGUAAAAUAUAUGCAUUAAAGUAAAGACGGGAAUCAAACCAAGUUCAAAGAAAACUUUAAAUCUAAUCAAUAUUAAUGCAGUUUCUCUAGACAUAGUCGAACAAAAUAAACACGAAUAUAAAAGAGAUGGGGCUUAAGAAAACCAAACAAUAUUCUUAAAAAAAUUAAAAAAAAAACCAAAAUGUAACACCACAAAGAUAAUUUUAUACGCCACAGAGAGUUUAACACCUACACACGACGCCCUUUCUUGUUUUUUAUAUCUUGUCAGUCUCUGUUUGUCUUGAGUGGUGACCUGGUUAUUAAUAAAUUUAGUUGUUCAAAAAAGUGAGACUUAUUAUAUGGGGGUGCAUUUAGCAUAUGAUAAUGUGUAACUUGCAAAGCCCACAAGUGUGCUCUCUUGGCUUGCAGAAGCACAAAAUUGGUUGCCUUACUUCAAGAGCACAUAAGUGAUUAUGUAAAAUAUGGUCUUUUUGUUUAAGCAACAUGACACUAACCUAAAUCACUUUUAGUAAACCCUAUUCUUUCUGAAACCCUGAAACUAAACCCUCUUUCCUCUUUCUAAGUGUUCAUCAAAUUAGCUAGCACAAUGAGUACAUGAGUUAUGUUAGUGUAGACUGAGUAAAAACAUCGCUAUUUUUCUUUUCUAAUGGUCAUCCUUACACUUGAUAAUCGUAUAUUCUAAAUUUAGAAGUAGAAUAAAUAAUAAAUAUUUUUUACCAAUGAAUAAAUAAUAAAUAUUAAUAAUGAUAUAUUGACAUUAUUAAUUAAAGUGAAUAAUAAUUAUGUACUGACAUUGUUAUUUUUAUAUUGUUAUUGUCAAAAAGAUUUAAAGGCAGGCGAAACAUUUUUUCAAGAAAAAACAAAGUGCAAAUGACAAACUUGACAUCUAAACUAUGUUGGCUUCCCAUUAUUAUAAUCUAUAAUUUGCAGCACUCUAAAAUUAUUAUAAAUAAAUAAAUGAAAAAUGAAAAUUACAAAUAUUGAGGGGACUAGACCAAAACCUAAUAAAAGUUAACCAAGUGAUUUUAGAAUGUCCCUUGUUAACCUAUUGGGAUAAAACCCGAGUACGGGAAAAAGGUACAUAACAACUAAACAACAUAAAGGCAACAUAAACAUAAAUCAAAGUGCAUAGGAUAUGACAUGAAAAUAAAUUAUAUGUAACAUAUAAUUAUUUUACAUAUUAAUGGUUAAUAAUCCAACCACAAACAAAAUAAGUUAACGCACAACAAGUAUUGUUCAGGAAUGUUACACCCAAUUUUGUGGUUAUUUACUCGACAAUGAAUGUGACUGUUGCAUGAAACAAACACUGCAAUGUAAAAUAACAUUAAAGUAUUUUUAUUAAAAGAGUAUGAAAUAUUGUGUCUAAUAUAAAUAAGAAAAUGAGAAAAUAAUGUCGAAAAUUACUUACCGCCAUUGGUUACAUGGAGAUAUGUAUAAAGGAAGAUUAUCAGAGCAAAAAAAACUUUGAAAUGUGAGUCAUUGUUUUGAAAAAUUUUAAAGAGAUCGUUUUUGUAAAAUGAUAUGAACUUGGCGUGAUUUUGUGAUUUCAUGGAAUUGGCCUAGGAUACUUGUAUGCCUAAGAUACAAUGGAUUAACCAUUUUAUAAGUAAAAGUUUAUUGCUUGAAUUGACAUCAAUUAAAUAAAUUAAAGCUAUUGUUAAAUGGCUCUAAGGUAUAUCAGUGUGCCAAGUUUAUCCUUUAGCGCACUCAAUUAACCAGUUAAGCAUAAUAAAGAUCUCAAAUAAAAAAAAAUUAAGCCCAUAAAAAAUUUAGUAGAUUUUUUUAUUUUUUAGCCUAUCAUGAUAGAGAGGGGACAAAAUACCCAAAGAUAAAUAAUGGCAAGGUAAUUAAAAUCGGAUCGAACCAUCUGGUUUAACUAGUUGAACCGGGAACCGGACCUAUGUCUGGUCUGAAAUAAAAAGAAAACGGGUGUUGCAACGAACCGGGAAACCAGAUAAUAAAGAUUUGUUGUGCAUAAAAAUUAAAUAACAGUAAAUAAAUAUUGUUUGGAAAAGUUAUGGAGAGAGAUGAGACUAGGUCUUCCGAAUCAUUUGAUUUUCCUUAAUUGGUACACUACACCUACUUCUCAUGAAUAUUUUUUUAGUUUUAUGAUGAUUAACUAAAAUAGCCCUAAUCAAUCCCUUGACUUAGGACCCUCUUCUCAGAUUACAACCCCUAAAUCCUUAGGUGAUCUAAUAUUCUUUGAAGGUUUGAAGAAUGUUAACCUAAUAUCACAAAUACUUGAUUGAGGUGUAUUGUUUUGAAAAAUGUCAAAAAGAUUGUUUUUGUAAAAUGAUACGAACUUGGCGUGAUUUUGUGAUUUCUUGGAAUUGGCCUUGAAUACUUGUCUGCCUAAGCUACUAUGGAUUAACCAUUUUAUAAGUAAAAGUUUAUUGCUUUACCAACAUCAAUUAAAUAUAUUUUAACACUAAAGAGGUGAAAAAUUGUUUACUAUAUUAAAGUUAUUGUUAAAUGGCUCUAAGGUAUAUCAGUGUGCCAAGUUUAUCCUUUGGCGCACUCAAUUAACCAUUUAAGCAUAAUAAGGAUCUCAAAUAAAAAAUUUAAACCCGGCAAAAAUUUAGUAGAUUUUUUAUUUUUUAGCCUAUCAUGAUAGAGAGGGGACAAAAUACCCAAAUAUAAAUAAUGGCAAGGUAAUUAAAAUCGGAUCGAACCAUCUGGUUUGACUCGUUGAACUAGGAACCAGAACUAUGUCUGGUCUGAAAUACAAAGAAAACUGGUGUCGCAACGAACCGGGAAACCAGAUAAAAACUGGAUGAACCGGGAAAACCAGCGGGCUACACGGUUUGGCAGGUUGAACCGCAUUUUACAAUUUUUUUGAAAAAAAAUCUCAAACCAGAUUUGUUAUGCCAUAAGUCUGAACUAAGAAAAGUUAUGGUGGUUUUAUAGCAAGAAGACAUAAAUCUAAGUAGAAUAAAAAUAUAGAGGAGACCAUGAAAUGGAGAUCUUGGAGAAAAAACGAAAAGGAUAAUCAUAGUUGGUGGGUUGCGUUGCUGCUAUUUAGAAAUUAGGGUUAGUGUGACAUUUAUACUUAUAAUAACUGAUAGACUUUUAGAAGGUGUACUAAAACUAUUGAACUAAUACAAUUAAUGUUGUUUCCAUGAGAACAAUAUUAAUCUCAAGUAAACGAUAGCAUUAUGAAAUAGGAUGUGUAAAGUUAUUUAGUGCCUGAGACAGUAGAUUUGUUGUGCAUAAAAAUUAAAUAACAGAAAAUAAAGAUUGUUUGGAAAAGUUAUGGAGAGAGAUGAGACUAGGUCUUUCGAAUACUUUGAUUUCCCCUAAUUGAUACACUACACCUAUUUCUCAUGAAUAUUUCUCUAGUUUUACGAUGAUUAACUAAAAUAGCUCUAAUCAAUCCCUUGACUUAGGACCCUCUUCUCAGAUUACGAUCCCUAAUUCCUUAGGUGAUCUAAUAUACUUUAAAGGUUUGAAUAACGUUAACCUAAUAUCACAAAUACUUGAUUGAGGUGUAUUGUUUUGAAAAAUGUCAAAAAGAUCGUUUUUGUAAAAUGAUACGAACUUGGCGUGAUUUUGUGAUUUCUUGGAAUUGGCCUAGGAUACUUGUAUGCCUAAGCUACUAUGGAUUAACCAUUUUAUAAGUAAAAGUUUAUUUCUCUAUUGACAUCAAUUAAAUAUAUUUUAACACUAAAGAGGUGAAAAGUUGUUUAUUAAAUUAAAGUUAUUGUUAAAUGGCUCUAAGGUAUAAUAAUGUGUCAAGUUUAUCCUUUAGCGCACUCAAUUAACAAGUUAAGCAUAAUAAAGAUCUCAAAUAAAAAAAUUUAAGCCCGUCAAAAAUUUAGUAGAUUUUUUUUAUUUUUUAGCCUAUCAUGAUUGAGAGGGGACAAGAUACCCAAAUAUAAAUAAUGGCAAGGUAAUUAAAAUCGGAUCGGACCAUCUGGUUUGACUAGUUGAACCGGGAACUGGAACUAUGUCUGGUCUGAAAUACAAAGAAAAUUGGUGUCGCAACGAACCAGGAAACCAGAUGAACCGGGAAAACCGGCGGGCUACACAGUUUUGCAGGUUGAACUGCAUUUUUAAAAUUUUUUGAAAAAAUAACUCAAACCAGAUUUGUUAUGUCAUAAGUCUGAACUAAGAAAAGAUAUGGUGGUUUUAUAGCAAAAGGACAUAAAUCUAAGUAGAAUACAAAUACAGAUGAGACCCUGAAAUGGAGAUCUUGGAGAAAAAAUGAAAAGGAUAAUUGUAACGCCCUAUUUUAAUAUUUAUUUAUUUUAUUGAGUUUAGGUGUCUUUCCAUAAUUUAGUCGAUUUAUUCUGAUGGGUGAUAUUUUGUUAUGUUAUAUGUUGGUAUUUAUUAGUAUAAUAUAUAUGUUAUUUGGUGUAGAAAUAUAUAUAUAUUAUCUGGUGUAGAAAUAUAUAUGUUAUUUGGUGUAGAAAUAUAUAUAUUAUCUUGUGUAGAAAUAUAUAUGUUAUGUGGUGUAGAAAUAUUAUGUUAUUUGGUGUAGAAAUAUAUGUUAUCUGGUGUAGAAAUAUAUUUCUUAUUUGGUGUAGAAAUAUAUAUAUAUAUAUAUAUAUAUAUAUAUAUAUAUAUAUAUAUAUAUAUAUAUGAGGGCAAAUUUAGAAAUAAGAGAACAUAAGUAGGUUAAUGAUUUUUAUAAAAGGGCAGAUUUGGAAAUAAGAGAAAAUAAGUAGGUUAAUGAAAGUUAGAAUUAGAAAAUAAGGAUUACGUGAAACUGCUUUUGAGAGAAAAGCGUGAAAGUGAGAAGUCAAGAGAAGAGAAGAGUCAGAGAAGAGAAAGUGGUAGAAUCUUGUAGAGUCCGAUCAUCUAAUCUAAGGUAAGGGUGGGACUAAAUUUCUCUAAUUCUAAGUUGUAUAAUUCUGAAAUUGAGUUUAGCAUGUUGUAGGUUGUAGUUAUGGAAAUUUGGGAAUUAGGUUUGAAGUUGUAAUUGGUUGUUAAUAGAGUAGAAAAUCCGUUGAAUUUGUGUAGAAGUGAUGUUUAGAUCAUGGGUUAUUUUUAGUGCAAUCUUUUAUAUGGUUUUGAGUGCCUUAACAUGUAUAGAAAUGGUUCGACAUGUUUUUUGGAUCAAAUUUGGGCAUAGGGAAGUUAAAAUUGGGAUUUUGGGGUGAAAAGUGGGUUUUUCCCGAGUUGCUCUCUGACAGCACGUCCUGUUUCAUGUUCUUGCGUCUUUUUCACACGUUUCUGUUUUGAAUUGGCCUUUGGUGUAAACAUGAAAGUUGUAGAUAAUUGAGUUAGCUUUCCAGUGGCUUUGAUUUGACGAGAAAAUGAUUUUUGGUUCUUGAGAUAUGAUGAAAAUACUCCAAGGAGGUUUUAGUGAAAUCUUAUGAAAAUUCAGCAUAACCGUUUCUAAUUUAAUCCAAAACUUAAGGAAUAAUUCCAAACCUCAAAACUAGAAGUACUAUGAGUUCAACUAGGGUGUUUAAGAUUAUUUAAGCUAUGUUGUGAUGGAUCUAAUUUGGUUUGACGUGAAUAUCUUUGUUGGAUAAUUUGAAAUACAUAUAUUAUGUGAAUGUUGUUGUUGAAUAAUUUGAGUUACAUAUAUUUAUGUGGAAAAGGUAUGAUAUAGAAAAUAAUGUUGUUAUACCAUUCAAGUUGUUAUUAUUAAUGAUGCUAUGUUGUGAAGUUGGUGUAUGUGUUUGUCUCUACUGUAUUGAUUAUUAAAUCAUUAAGUUGCAUAUGUUGGUCAAGUUGUUAAAGUUGUAAGUUGUUGUCAAUGUAGUUAAAGUUGUAAGUUGUUAUCGAUGUCGUUGAAGUUGUUAGUUGUCGUUGCAUUAGUUGUUGAGUCCAUGCAUACUCAUUUACGUUGAGGGCAUGAUGCCAUGUGAGCUUUUGCUCUUUAAGUUGAGGGCUUGAUGCCCUGGGAGUGUAUUUAUGCUCAAUACGUUGAGGGCUUGAUGUCCUGUGAGCUUUUGCUCUUUAAGUUGAGGGCUUGAUGCCCUGAGAGUGUAUUUUUGCUCAAUAUGUUGGGGGCUUGAUGCCCUGAAUUGGUACCACAUGCAUGAUUAAGAAGUUGAAGUUGCAUAUGUUGAGUUUAAGUUGUAGAAGUCGCAUUGUCGUUGUCGUUAAGUUGUCAUUUGUCAAUGAGUUGUUAAUAAAGAACUAAGCGAAGUAUUAAUAUUUAUUAAUCGUUGUUGUUUAUGUCGUUAUGAGAUGAUGUUUAUGAUGUUGUUAUUUAUGUCGUUAUGAGAUGAUGUUUAUGAUGUGUUGUUUAUGUUGUUAUAAGAUGAUGUUUAUGAUGUGAUGAUUAUGUCGUUAUAUGAUGAUGUUUAUGAUCUGAUUAUUAUGUGCUAUAUGAUGUUGUAUAUAAUGUGAUGAAUAUGAAGUUAAUAAUGAUUAGAAGUUGGUUGAGUUAUUAAUGAAGUAUUAUAACAAGAGUUAAUGUUAUUAAUUGAUGAAGUUUAAGUUGUUAAAUGCUUUUGAUGAAUUAUAUGCUUAUUAUUAUUGAAUGUGAAAUCUCACCCCUUCUGCUUGGAAAUGUUGCCCUCACAAUUGGGUAACUUGCAGGUAAUCUAGAAUAGUUGUGGUCGUGAGUGGACUCUCUCACGUGUCAUCGUCUUAAGUGCUCUGAUACGUAACGGGAUGAGAAUUUUGUUGUUGCUCUUUGUUCCUUACGUAUUAUUUUAUGAAGUUUUAUGAACAUGUUGUUGGAAUAAUUUUAUGAGAUUUUACCUUGAGGCCUUUGUGUCAAGGUUGUUUUAAACGUUAAAAUAAUUUCCGCUACAAUAAGAUUUAAUUUGAUGAUUGAGAUAAUUAGUAAUUUUACUAUAUUCAGAUUUGAAAGAAGUGUAACAUCCAGUUUUUAGUUGUUUACUCUGAUAUAAGUGAAAUUUUUCAAGUUGGGAAAACGGGGUGUUACAAUAAUCAUAGUUGGUGGGUUGCGCUGAUGCUGCUAUAUAUUCAGAAAUUAGGGUUAGUGUGUCAUUUAUACUUAUAAUAACUGAUAGACUUUUAGCAGGUGUACUGAAACUAUUGAAGUAAUACAAUUAAGUUCUUUUCCAUGAGAACCGUGUUAAUCUCAAGUAAACAAUAGCAUUAUGAAACAGGAUGUGUAAAGUUAUAUUAGUGCCCGAGGCAGCAGGUGCAUAAAAAUUAAAGGCUAAAAUAUGGUUUUGGUCCCUCAAAUAUGCCUCGUUUUGGUUUUAGUCACUGUAAAUUUUUUUUGUUGUUUUUGGUCCCUGCAAAUAUGCCUCAUUUUGAUUUUGGUCCCUGGCUCCACUUUUGUGAUGAUUUGCACACGUGGCACAUGAUGACUGAACCCAUUUAUUAGAGAAAUAGUCCCUGCAAAAUCUUUUGAUUUUACAAGGACCAAAAACAACAAAUUUUUUUUACAGGGACUAAAACCAAAAUGAGGCAUAUUUGCAGGGACCAAAACCAUAUUUUAGCCAAAAUUAAAUAACAGAAAAUAAAGAUUGUUUGGAAAAGUAAUGGAGAGAGAUGAGACUAGGUCUUUCGAAUCAUUUGAUUUUCCCUAAUUGGUACACUGCACCUAUUUCUCAUGAAUAUUUCUCUAGUUUUACGAUGAUUAACUAAAAUAGCCCUAAUCAAUCCAUUGACUUAGGAUUCUCUUCUCAUAUUACAAUCCCUAAUUCCUUAGGUGAUCUAAUAUACUUUAUAGGUUUGAAGAACAUUAACCUAAUAUCACAAAUACUUGAUUGAGGUGUAUUGUUUUGAAAAAUGUGAAAAAGAUCGUUUUUGUAAAAUGAUACGAACUUGGCGUAAUUUUGUGAUUUCUCGGAAUUGGCCUAGGAUACUUGUAUGCCUAAGCUACUAUGGAUUAACCAUUUUAUAAGUAAAAGUUUAUUUCUUUAUUGACAUCAAUUAAAUA
This 10538-nucleotide long non-coding RNA is filed under the name Medicago truncatula (barrel medic). RNAcentral's name for it is "long non-coding RNA (MTRU_LNC001488)". Lineage: Eukaryota; Viridiplantae; Streptophyta; Magnoliopsida; Fabales; Fabaceae. The record is from RNAcentral.